This 801-nucleotide unclassified non-coding RNA is filed under the name uncultured fungus. Its description in RNAcentral is "sequence contains 18S rRNA gene, ITS1, 5.8S rRNA gene, ITS2, 28S rRNA gene". The record is from RNAcentral. Lineage: Eukaryota; Fungi.
CCGGCCAUGAGAUCGACCAGUGCCAGUUCUCCGCCCUUGUACGGGACGUACGUCAUGCGGAUGCGCGCCAUGCUCUUGAAAAGCUCACCGGUCAUAUGUCCCGCACUGCCGAAACCGCCCGAGGCGAAAUUGAGUUCUCCGGGCUUCGUCCUGGCAAGGGCGAUAAGAUCCGCGACCGUUCUGACAGGAAGCGAAGGGUGGGAAGAGAUGGAAUAGGGUGCGGCCCCCAUGAGCGUGAUUGGCGCGAAAUCCUUCACCGGAUCGUAUGGCAGGUUACUGUGCAGCGCCGAGCUCAUCGUAUAGCUGGCGGAAAUGGCGAGCAGGUUGUAGCCGUCGGCCGGCGCCUUCGCGAGUGCCGCAUAAGCGGUAGUCCCGCCCGCGCCAGGCCGGUUCUCGACCACGAACGUUUUGCCCAGCGUUUCUCCCAGCUUCUGGGACACCACGCGCGCCAGGAUGUCCACUCCGCCGCCGGGCGCAAAUCCGACGGUCACCCUCACGGGUUUGCUCGGAUAGCCGGCGCCAGAGCCAGCCGUCCCCUGGCCGCAUGCGAUCUCCGUCCAUGCAAGAAGCAGUACCACGAGCCAUGCGCGUCGCCCGGCACGCGGGUAUCGGCGGUGUUCCUCGCAAUUCAUCACGUUCCUGCCCCACCUGAUGGCAAAAUGGCAGUUUAGCCGCUCAUUCGUUUCUGGCGCCGAUCGAUGUCACAAGCUGGCCGCCAGCAGGAGGUUGGCAUGCCGCAACUCGUUUUCCUCCACGGUCCGGGCGCCGGCGCCUGCGCCGACGCCUGGCACUACCAGCGCC